Molecule: non-coding RNA, 27 nt
Filed under: Cricetulus griseus (Chinese hamster)
Lineage: Eukaryota; Metazoa; Chordata; Mammalia; Rodentia; Cricetidae
Source: RNAcentral
AAAACUCCAUAGGACUCCUAAGAAGGA